RNAcentral lists this long non-coding RNA (1340 nucleotides) under Medicago truncatula (barrel medic). RNAcentral describes it as "lncRNA gene11964". The record is from RNAcentral. Lineage: Eukaryota; Viridiplantae; Streptophyta; Magnoliopsida; Fabales; Fabaceae.
GACCUACCGCCGGUUAACUGAAUGCCUCAACAAAGGAAACCUGUUGCAAAAAACCUGAAAAAGAGCCAACAAUCACUAGCAAAAAUAUUGCAGUAAAGUUACAAGACAUUAGACUAUAGUGCACCAAAACUACAAAUAGAAACUAGGAUCAGGGGCCAUAAUAAGAGACAUUAAUGCACCUAAACCACAUAUUUUAAUAGCAAGACAUUAUUUCACAAUCCACAUCCACAAUUUCCAUCUAAUUGUGGAAGGCAACCUGAUCUAUUUCUAAUUAUUCAAUAUGCAGACCAUUAAUACUAACACCAGUGAGCUACAUAACACACAAAGAGAUGAGAAAUUUAAAGAAAAAAGUCGUAGCCAAAGCUCACUACAAAGAAAAGUCUUAGCAUAAAAAAACUCUACAAUAUAAGAUUAGAAAAUGAAAAUAAUCAUAACUGCUACUACAUAGUUGCAAUACGGUCCCACUUCAAUGGCAAAUCAAUGUAGCAUCUUAAUUAUGAUAGCUUUAGAAAUUCACUUACUCUUCAAAAUACAUGUAAAAUGCUAUUAUUUGUAUUCAUUAUUCCCACCAAUAUGCAAUAACACACAGAGUUAUCUUGCAUAGAACAAAAGGUGAAUACUAAGAAUCAAAAGACACAUUGUUCUUACCAAACACCAAAAUAUAAUAAUAAGCCAAAUUAUGAACAAUUUAUCAACAACUUUAACAACAAUGUUGAAGAUUUAUGUGCUAAUCUUAAGAAAGACAUUUUUUCUGCUCAAACUUCAACCCUCACAGGGUCUCUCAAUUCAGUUUUGACAAUCUCUUCCACAACAUGAGUUUGAGUAGCAAAGAAUAAGUCAGUUCAUCGAAGAUUGGACGGCAGAUUUAUGAUAACAUUUAUCUGCUUCUUGAAUCCCAUAUCUAAUAGUCUAUCAACUUCUUGAAUCAAGUAUUAUUUUAUAAAACAUGACCAAAUAAAUCCUAAUUAAAAAAGUUGGGCAUCAAAUCAAAUUUAAAGCAACCCUAAAACCCAAAAUCACAAAUUGGCAGCAAAUCAAAUUUGAAGGAACACAUAAAUUAAAAACCCCAAAUCGUAAACCCUAAAAUUCAAAAUCAAAAAAUUACCAACAUAAAAUUCAAUAUAUAAAGAUGGGUAUUGUGAUUCACUAACCUUUCUCAAUGGAUUUCUAGUGAGAAUUAAGACUAUGAACUGAGCGACCAAGAUUCUGAGAACUCAGACGCGGCGACAGAGAAAGAUUGAGAGCGUGACAAAGGUUAUGGUAGGGGAAGAAUAACGAAGAGUGAGAGGUGAUGGGGCUUUCGAGAAACAUGGAGAGGUUCUGCAAUGGGGUUUUGAUAG